AUGGGCAAGAUCAAGAUGCCGGCCCUCUUCCGCCGCCGCUCCUCCUCCAAGUCGCGCUCCGCGUCGCCGCCGCCUACUCCCCAGGAGGAAGAGGGCACCCGGCCGGCGUCGGGCGCGGGGUCCCCGGCGCGGUCGGCGGAGGAGGAGAUGGAGCGGGUGUUCCGCAAGUUCGACGCCAACGGCGACGGCCGGAUCUCGCGGCCGGAGCUGGCGGCCCUGUUCGAGAGCCUGGGCCACGCGGCCACGGAGGACGAGCUGACCCGCAUGAUGGCGGAGGCGGACGCGGACGGCGACGGCUUCAUCAGCCUGGAGGAGUUCGCGGCGCUCAACGCCACGGCGGCCGGCGACGACGAGGAGGACCUGCGGCUGGCCUUCAAGGUGUUCGACGCGGACGGCAGCGGCGACAUCUCGGCCGCGGAGCUGGCGAGCGUGCUCCACGGCCUCGGCGAGAAGGCGACGGUGCAGCAGUGCCGGCGCAUGAUCGAGGGCGUGGACAAGAACGGCGACGGCCUCAUCUCCUUCGACGAGUUCAAGGUCAUGAUGGCCUCCGGCUUGGCCGCCAAGAUGGCCUGA
RNAcentral lists this ribosomal RNA (573 nucleotides) under Triticum aestivum (bread wheat). RNAcentral describes it as "partial small subunit ribosomal RNA". The record is from RNAcentral. Lineage: Eukaryota; Viridiplantae; Streptophyta; Magnoliopsida; Poales; Poaceae.